RNAcentral lists this ribosomal RNA (254 nucleotides) under uncultured bacterium. RNAcentral describes it as "partial 16S ribosomal RNA". It matches the Rfam family "Archaeal small subunit ribosomal RNA", at positions 474 to 727 of the family's 1478-position model. The record is from RNAcentral.
UACCAGCACCCCGAGUGGUCGGGACGUUUAUUGGGCCUAAAGCAUCCGUAGCCGGUUCUACAAAUCUUCCGUUAAAUCCACCUGCUUAACAGAUGGGCUGCGGAAGAUACUAUGGAGCUAGGAGGCGGGAGAGGCAAGCGGUACUCGAUGGGUAGGGGUAAAAUCCGUUGAUCCAUUGAAGACCACCAGUGGCGAAGGCGGCUUGCCAGAACGCGCUCGACGGUGAGGGAUGAAAGCUGGGGGGAGCAAACCGG